This 3112-nucleotide ribosomal RNA is filed under the name Salmonella enterica subsp. enterica serovar Typhimurium. RNAcentral's name for it is "bacterial LSU rRNA". It matches the Rfam family "Bacterial large subunit ribosomal RNA". The record is from RNAcentral. Lineage: Bacteria; Pseudomonadati; Pseudomonadota; Gammaproteobacteria; Enterobacterales; Enterobacteriaceae.
GGUUAAGCGACUAAGCGUACACGGUGGAUGCCCUGGCAGUCAGAGGCGAUGAAGGGCGUGCUAAUCUGCGAUAAGCGCCGGUAAGGUGAUAUGAACCGUUAUAACCGGCGAUACCCGAAUGGGGAAACCCAGUGUGAUUCGUCACACUAUCAUUAACUGAAUCCAUAGGUUAAUGAGGCGAACCGGGGGAACUGAAACAUCUAAGUACCCCGAGGAAAAGAAAUCAACCGAGAUUCCCCCAGUAGCGGCGAGCGAACGGGGAGGAGCCCAGAGCCUGAAUCAGCAUGUGUGUUAGUGGAAGCGUCUGGAAAGGCGCGCGAUACAGGGUGACAGCCCCGUACACAAAAGCGCAUGUGCUGUGAGCUCGAUGAGUAGGGCGGGACACGUGGUAUCCUGUCUGAAUAUGGGGGGACCAUCCUCCAAGGCUAAAUACUCCUGACUGACCGAUAGUGAACCAGUACCGUGAGGGAAAGGCGAAAAGAACCCCGGCGAGGGGAGUGAAAAAGAACCUGAAACCGUGUACGUACAAGCAGUGGGAGCCCCACCACCAAAGCAUUCUCUGGUGUUGAAGGCCCUGCAAAGCAGCAUCGCGGUGGCGGAGCGUCGUUUGCGACGCCCAACACACAAAACAAGCGGUGAAUGCUUUGGGGUGGGGUGACUGCGUACCUUUUGUAUAAUGGGUCAGCGACUUAUAUUCUGUAGCAAGGUUAACCGAAUAGGGGAGCCGGAGGGAAACCGAGUCUUAAUUGGGCGUUAAGUUGCAGGGUAUAGACCCGAAACCCGGUGAUCUAGCCAUGGGCAGGUUGAAGGUUGGGUAACACUAACUGGAGGACCGAACCGACUAAUGUUGAAAAAUUAGCGGAUGACCUGUGGCUGGGGGUGAAAGGCCAAUCAAACCGGGAGAUAGCUGGUUCUCCCCGAAAGCUAUUUAGGUAGCGCCUCGUGAAUUCAUCUCCGGGGGUAGAGCACUGUUUCGGCUAGGGGGCCAUCCCGGCUUACCAACCCGAUGCAAACUGCGAAUACCGGAGAAUGUUAUCACGGGAGACACACGGCGGGUGCUAACGUCCGUCGUGAAGAGGGAAACAACCCAGACCGCCAGCUAAGGUCCCAAAGUCAUGGUUAAGUGGGAAACGAUGUGGGAAGGCCCAGACAGCCAGGAUGUUGGCUUAGAAGCAGCCAUCAUUUAAAGAAAGCGUAAUAGCUCACUGGUCGAGUCGGCCUGCGCGGAAGAUGUAACGGGGCUAAACCAUGCACCGAAGCUGCGGCAGCGAACGUAUCACCCAAGACAACUUUACGGAGUUGACGAUUGACGGAGCGAAGCGACGUCAAAGCGUUCAUUAAAGUCGAGUUGGCUUAGGGAUACGUUCGUUGGGUAGGGGAGCGUUCUGUAAGCCUGUGAAGGUGUGUCGUGAGGCAUGCUGGAGGUAUCAGAAGUGCGAAUGCUGACAUAAGUAACGAUAAAGCGGGUGAAAAGCCCGCUCGCCGGAAGACCAAGGGUUCCUGUCCAACGUUAAUCGGGGCAGGGUGAGUCGACCCCUAAGGCGAGGCCGAAAGGCGUAGUCGAUGGGAAACGGGUUAAUAUUCCCGUACUUGGUGUUACUGCGAAGGGGGGACGGAGAAGGCUAUGUUGGCCGGGCGACGGUUGUCCCGGUUUAAGCGUGUAGGUGUGUGUUCCAGGUAAAUCCGGUUCACUUUAACACUGAGGCGUGAUGACGAGGCACUACGGUGCUGAAGCAACAAAUGCCCUGCUUCCAGGAAAAGCCUCUAAGCAUCAGGUAACAUCAAAUCGUACCCCAAACCGACACAGGUGGUCAGGUAGAGAAUACCAAGGCGCUUGAGAGAACUCGGGUGAAGGAACUAGGCAAAAUGGUGCCGUAACUUCGGGAGAAGGCACGCUGACACGUAGGUGAAGUGAUUUACUCACGGAGCUGAAGUCAGUCGAAGAUACCAGCUGGCUGCAACUGUUUAUUAAAAACACAGCACUGUGCAAACACGAAAGUGGACGUAUACGGUGUGACGCCUGCCCGGUGCCGGAAGGUUAAUUGAUGGGGUCAGCGCAAGCGAAGCUCCUGAUCGAAGCCCCGGUAAACGGCGGCCGUAACUAUAACGGUCCUAAGGUAGCGAAAUUCCUUGUCGGGUAAGUUCCGACCUGCACGAAUGGCGUAAUGAUGGCCAGGCUGUCUCCACCCGAGACUCAGUGAAAUUGAACUCGCUGUGAAGAUGCAGUGUACCCGCGGCAAGACGGAAAGACCCCGUGAACCUUUACUAUAGCUUGACACUGAACAUUGAGCCUUGAUGUGUAGGAUAGGUGGGAGGCUUUGAAGUGUGGACGCCAGUCUGCAUGGAGCCGACCUUGAAAUACCACCCUUUAAUGUUUGAUGUUCUAACGUGGACCCGUAAUCCGGGUUGCGGACAGUGUCUGGUGGGUAGUUUGACUGGGGCGGUCUCCUCCUAAAGAGUAACGGAGGAGCACGAAGGUUGGCUAAUCCUGGUCGGACAUCAGGAGGUUAGUGCAAUGGCAUAAGCCAGCUUGACUGCGAGCGUGACGGCGCGAGCAGGUGCGAAAGCAGGUCAUAGUGAUCCGGUGGUUCUGAAUGGAAGGGCCAUCGCUCAACGGAUAAAAGGUACUCCGGGGAUAACAGGCUGAUACCGCCCAAGAGUUCAUAUCGACGGCGGUGUUUGGCACCUCGAUGUCGGCUCAUCACAUCCUGGGGCUGAAGUAGGUCCCAAGGGUAUGGCUGUUCGCCAUUUAAAGUGGUACGCGAGCUGGGUUUAGAACGUCGUGAGACAGUUCGGUCCCUAUCUGCCGUGGGCGCUGGAGAACUGAGGGGGGCUGCUCCUAGUACGAGAGGACCGGAGUGGACGCAUCACUGGUGUUCGGGUUGUCAUGCCAAUGGCACUGCCCGGUAGCUAAAUGCGGAAGAGAUAAGUGCUGAAAGCAUCUAAGCACGAAACUUGCCCCGAGAUGAGUUCUCCCUGAGACUUAGAGUCUCCUGAAGGAACGUUGAAGACGACGACGUUGAUAGGCCGGGUGUGUAAGCGCAGCGAUGCGUUGAGCUAACCGGUACUAAUGAACCGUGAGGCUUAACCUUACAACGCCGAAGAUGUUUUG